GAAAGUCUAACUGUCCUUAGAGGUCUCUGGCUGGCCUCUAAAGAGAUGAAUCUCAGGACUUUGGGUCAGGGUGGGGAAAUAGGCAGCCUCCACUUAGCUUGCUGGGAGAAGCCCUGUGGCCACGCUUCCCCUUAUUGCCACCCCCACCCCAGACUGCAGUGUGUGCAGUGUGUUAAUCGACCUCUUGGCUAUGGACCUUAAGGAGGACCGAAUGGCAGAGGCAGGGGGUGGGGUGCCUUCCUGCCACUGGUCUGAGCUUCGGCACUCCCCGGCUACACUUUGAGUUGCCUCUUGUGGCAGAGUCUCCUCUGCAGAUUGUUAUUCCACACUCCCUCAAGCACCGAGCACCGGGGCUGAGGCAUCUACUGAAGGAAUUGGAACUGCAUCAGCAGCAUGGACACCAAAAUUGGACAUGUGUAGAAGUAACCGGGCUGGAGAAGCGAGGGGUUCCGACUCAGCACAACGGCUCACUGUACCUUCGCCACUCCAGCCCCAAAGGGACACCAUCUUGUCUCCUGUGAAUGGGACUUCUGACAGUUAGAGGUCUCCUCCCGAUCUGAUGACCCAUCUCCAGGUACUCAUCUUCACUGGACCUUCCUCCAGCAAUUGUCUGCCACUGCAACUCUGACUUUGCCUCCCAGCCAAGCAGUUUCUCUUCCUCCCAGUGGCCUGUGCAGUCUCAAAGGGGCACACUCACAGCACGGAAGCUUCCUGGCCUCCUGCCUCCCUGAGCUGGUUUCCUUUCACAAGCUUUCUUCGAGCUGCUGGGGCCACGGCAAUGCCUGCGGCUCCUUUGCAGCUCUCGGUCUCCCUGCAGAGUGUCAGGCUGUGAAUCCGCCUUCUCCCUGCAAAGGCUGGCAACCAGAGGCCCUCCAGCUGGAGCAGCCACAAGACUACUAACAGAACCAAAGGGGAUGAAGGCCAGGGAACUCCGGAGGUCCAAAGCAAACGAAGAAGCUCCAGGAACAGACUGGCUUCAGAUUUUUCACACUAAACGGAUUGUUGGUCCUGUGACCUUCUAUGGCCCACUCUGAACUCUUGUCACCAAGAUAUCUCACUGCCCUCCCCUCCUGCUGUCAUGCAGGUGUAAGAGAGUACUGUGGGAGGGUUGGCCCGCUGUGGGUCUCCCAGCACCCUUUUCUGCUCCAUUCAGUUUUCUUAAAUAGGAUCUCACUGAGGACUACGAGAGCCCAACGAGAGCGGGAUCCUUCAAGGCUCCGGAUCCUCAACCCCUUCUAAAGGCGCCGCUCACGGGGGAAAACAGCUCUGCCCAGUUUCCAUUCCCGCCUCCAGAAUAACGAGCCGAAAACAUGUGUACUGUAAAUAAAGCCUGUCUAAAUAAAGCACUCGGGGAAAGGCUGCCGAGAAAACACUCUGCAUCGCUCUGUGCUCAGAGUGAGUCAGCU
Mus musculus (house mouse) is the source of this 1406-nucleotide long non-coding RNA. RefSeq annotates it as predicted gene, 34301. The transcript is spliced from 4 exons. Lineage: Eukaryota; Metazoa; Chordata; Mammalia; Rodentia; Muridae. The record is from RefSeq and is a predicted model, not a curated record.